GUCAGUCGCACGAGUUACGAGCUCUAAAACGCACCAAAGUGGUAUGUAAAAAGGUAAAAGGACCAGAAAUCAACGAAACACCGUCGGCGAGUUGGCAACUCUGUUCGAUGUCCGUAAGGAUUUAAAAUCACCCAUUUUGAAUAUUUAGUGAUUAUCUAUGGACGUGUCCCAUUAACCAGUACAAAAACGUGCAAAUAAAAAGCAGAGAAGUCAAGGCUGAAAUUAUGGAGAAACUGAAAUUUGAAACAAAAAACAUUUGAGAGAUUACAAUGGACAAUAUGAUACUCCUCUUACAUACAAACUAGCCAGGGAGUACGAAUUUAGAUUCAUUAUAUAGAAAGGAAUUAAUUACCCAAACCAAAAGAAGAUAAUGAUAUUAUUUAAAGUUCUCGAAAUGAAUGUAAAUUAAAUAUUAACUGCAAUUAUAUUGAUAUACAUAUGUAUAUGUACAUAUACCCGUCUGAUAGACGCAUAAAGGGUAUCAAAAACCCAAACAGAUUGAUCAAAACAAAUAUCAAAUUGGAACCUAAACAAAUCUAAUCAGCAACUGAGCGAUUAGCAACCUCGCCACAAUUCUCUGAUUGGAAGAAACAAGAGCUCAACGCACGAGAGAGCAAAGCCAAGAGAACCAUAAGAAAACAGGUUGAAGCCAUUGAUAUACCUUGCCCUUGGUGCCGGCCACAUGGAUGAAGGACAGUUGCUCUACAGUUUCCAGCGGCAGACCACUCCGCUCCAGAUAUUUAAUGGUAUCCGCUUUGGUAUCCACACGGGAAUUACUCAUUGAAUUCCUUAUGGCAGCAUCGUUCGAUUGCAGGGAAUUUAACUGCUUAAUGGCCAACUGAAAACGGUAGGAAAUUAAUUAAUUAAUAACAAACGAAUUUGGUAUUUAGCUGGGUCAGCAUGACAUAUAGAAACAUUUCACACUGAAGAUGAAACAUUUGCUACUGUAAUACCAAAUUUCAUAUUAAUCACACACAUAAUUCUGAAAACACAUGAAUGGUUUUUAUUAUUUAGAUUUAGAAUAAUCUCAUUUUUGAAAUCGAAAAGAUAAUGCUACGAUUGUGAAAUCAAAGGUAUGAUAUUAAUAAGUAAUAGGUAAUAAAACUAUGACAAAGUAAUUAAAAAUUGUAUCUGUUGGUUUCCAACUUGGGACUUGGGAAUUGUUUUAGAUUUACCUCAAAGGCUGCAUUUGUAUCCUUGUUAUUGUUAUCGCUGCUGCAUUGGAUAUUGCCCGAGACAUGAUUUCCAUUAAUACUCUGCUGUGGUGGAUUAAGUACGCGUUCCGCCAGGCUAACACCCGAUCGGAAUGCCGCCAGGUGCUGGAUGCGCUGCAUUUUCACUGUACUGAGGUUGGUCACCGUACUGUAGGUGCUCAUUCUACUACAGUGGGAGCUCUCUCUACUGACGACCAGUGAUCUGGGCUUGCGACUCUGUCGAACUAAGUAGCGCAACAGACAAGCAGCCAUAUCAAUAGAGCCGGAAUCGUAGACCUCCGACGAACGGCUCUUCGGCUCACUCGUAGUUUUCACUCACAGGUGAUUGAGCGGUGGUAUCUAAUGACAAAAAAAAAACUGGUAAAUAAACAAAAUCUAAUCGGCACGGAAACAGCGUUAAAAUUGGGGUAGAUCAUAUGCGACAGGCGCGCGUGUGCGUGGCUUGUAAAUUGUAGGCUAGAGCAAUUGACCGAUAAGACUUUUUAUACGCACAACACAUCUAAUUAUAAUAACUGAUAACAUCUAGUUACAAAAUGUGCGUAUUCAAAUAUUGCGCCACAAAAUGUAUAACGGGGAGUUGCUAUCGUUUGCGAUAAAUAGAUAUACAAGCUCGAUAACAAAAACAU
This is a non-coding RNA of Drosophila melanogaster (fruit fly), 1840 nucleotides long. The record is from Ensembl. Lineage: Eukaryota; Metazoa; Arthropoda; Insecta; Diptera; Drosophilidae.